CCAAAGGCUCUUUUCAGAGCCGCCCACAUUUUCACAUAAAGCAGCU
Erinaceus europaeus (western European hedgehog) is the source of this 46-nucleotide non-coding RNA. Lineage: Eukaryota; Metazoa; Chordata; Mammalia; Eulipotyphla; Erinaceidae. The record is from Rfam.